Molecule: non-coding RNA, 2995 nt
Organism: Taeniopygia guttata (zebra finch)
Lineage: Eukaryota; Metazoa; Chordata; Aves; Passeriformes; Estrildidae
Source: RefSeq, a predicted model, not a curated record
CUUUCAGGCAUGUUGCCACUUUGCUUUUUCUCUUUAAAUUCUCCUCAUAAAAAUAGAUUUUUCCCAGCUCAGAACUGGGGGCAGAGAAUAAGGGUUGAAGGAUGUAAAGAGGAAGAAUGCCAGCACUGAACUAGGACUUAUGUGAGCUAAAAUGUUGCAGUGCUUGUAGCUGCAUAAGCAUGAAGGCACGAAAGUGUCUCUUUUCCUUCUGUUGCUGUUCUUCUUCCAAGGAACACUGCAAAACCAUAGGACAACCAAGUAUUUUGGAAGUAAAUGUAACUUAAGACAGCAGAUCAUUUUCUUAUUCUGCGCUGGGAAAGAAGGCCAGAACUGUAGUGAGGUGCCACAACUAUUUAUAAGCAGGUUAUUCUGAUAUCCCACUGCUCUACAGCACCAUAUAAAAGUCCAGGCUGGAAGGGACCAGCAUCAUCUGUCCAACUUUCUGUUCAAGGCAGGGCCUUGGGUAAGACUAUUCAGAAUCCUGUCAUAUAUGGAGUAUUUCCAGCACAGGAGAAUCCACUGCUCCUCUGGGCAGUUCAUUUUACCCACAAAGAGUAAAAGCCCCAUUGUGGGACUUUACCACAAAGGGUAAAGUCCCAUCUACCCAUUUUACAGUUGAAAAGGAAACUCUGAGCCCAAGCACCGUUGAUAGACAAUUGCUGUUGAGACCAUCACAUCAGGCUGGGUUUAAUCUUCUGCCCUGGCUAACACAGGAGAGCUUAGAUCCAGGACAACUUCUCUCCAUGAAGUCAUCAGGUUUCUUAUUUGACAUCUUUUGGUCAAUUUUGUCCCCUCUAUUUUGCUCAGGAGCCCAAGGAGGGGGAUGGAAAUCCUGCCAGUUAUGGGUGACACUGCCAAUGACUGAGAGACAUCAGCCCAGGUGUCCAACACAGCUCUCUAAAGGCAGGAUGCUGCUGGACUAGAUGAAGAAGGAAAAAAAUACUUACAAAAUACAUCUUUUUUUAGGGGUAAAUCCCAUCAGUUGGAAUAACUGUGCUUUCUUUAGGCACUCAGGAGCAUCGGGAAGGAGAUGUCUACAGUGGAUCACAAAAAGAAAACACAGCAGUCACUAGGUAUGCCAAUAAUCUACUGUAACUGCUUUUGCCUGCCUGCAAAACACACCUGGCUACCCUAGUGAAAUGGAUUUAGCAUAAGCAAUUGCCAGGCUGCUCUGCCGAAAGUGUUCUCCAGUCUUUGGGCUUGUAAGGAUUCAUUACUGGGGUCAUGAACAUUGCUGAGAGAAGAUUUUAAUUCAGCGAUCUCUACUGCUGCAGUGGAGAGUAACCAAGAAAAGCAAUUCAGAAUGAUUGCAUCUGAUGUCAUGCGAGAAGCCCCUAUCAAAACACAAGAUGCUCUCAGGGAGGCAGACUCUCAAACAGCGCUGCUUAACAGAUGAGGAAGAGUGCGUGAUGAACCAGCUCAGCAGAAAUCAUCUGUGCUUGCACCUGAUACCAGAGGCACCCCACAGCAGCUGGUCCACUUGUCAGGGAGAGGGAGAGAGGCUUCCACAGACGACUGGACAGUAAUCCACUGAGGAGAGCUGUCUCGUUAAUAAAUCUGUCCUCUGCAAUGAGACUCCGCUCACACAGAUGUGUCAGUUCCUUUAUUCAGAGGGAGCAGCCUGAAAAAGAUCAUGGCAGCUAUGCUUUCCAUAGAUGCCAGAGGCUGGGGUGAAGAAGCAGCAGGGAGCAUCAGCGAGGAGGUGGGGUGUUGUGUCUCCUCCACACUGCCCAUGCAAGUCCCCCAUGGUGGCUGCUAUGGCUGCUACCUACACACAGCACGUGAAGCUAUGGAAGCAAGAGGCUGCCCUAUUUGCCUGUGUCAAGCAAGACCAUCAAUAACACCUACUUUUCAGGACCCAUUUGACAGAUUGUACUUUUGGAUGUUGCACAGCAAUAAAGUCCCUACAGCUGGUUUUUUUACAUCGUGCAAAGAAGGUUUUUAAAUCCAAGCAGCUCAUGCACCUGAAGGGAGAACUGUUCAGCAAGCAUGACCUGCUACAAACUUUUGCUUCCUCAACCUUGAAUCAAUUCUGUUUUUCCCCUCUUUCUUUUCCUAAAUUCUCCCGUACCAGAACUGAAGAAACCCCAAAAUUCAUCUGUGGCCCUGGUAUUGCCAAGUUGCUGCCUUGCUCAGGGUCCUUGGGACACAGCGUCCUCUACAGCCCUUCUCCACAGCCCAUUUCCUGGCUGUGCACUGCAAUGCUCUUGCUAAGAGACAGAAGAUGUGCAAGAACCAGAGGAAAUCCUUGCACUGACAAAGAAAGGACUGUGCACACCAAGAACUCCAUCAGAGCAGGGCAGCUUUGCAGAUUGACUGAAAGGAGGCUGCCUGGGCAGUCUUGUUCUCCCUCACAGACAGCAGACCACAGCACAUCUCCUGAGGUGCUCCCUACACACAGGAAACAGAACGACAUUCUCCAGGUUCACCCCUGCUGCUCACCUACCACAAAGCUUCCCCUUGAACAUUUAACUGUGAAAUAGUGAACGAAAACUUAAUUAAAGAUGAAAGGGGUAAAUUAUGCACUGUAAAGUCAAAGGACACUGACUCCUUUCUGUCCAUCACUUGGAAAAUAAGAAAGCUUGAAGUAAGCUGUAAACUGCAUGAAUGCCUCAUUUAACCUCACUACUGAGAUGCUCUACAUACUAUUCUGAAGUUAAUAGUACACUUUCAAUAAUUUAUAGCUAACCUUUUAUCCUACUACAUUUUGAAAUUUACUCCCUUAUACUAAUAAAUAAACAAAGGAGAAAGGGCACUUUGUGUGGCACCUGCCCUAUGAGUCAGGGAAUAUGUAUGUGUGAGCAGGCAGAGGUAUGGGCAGGAUCCUGAAGAAUCACAAAAGAAUGACAGAAACAAUGAUUACAAGUCCCCAGCUGUGGAAAAAAAGCAAUGGGAAAAAACAUAUCAAUCUGGAAAAAAAUUAAUCUGAAGAAGUUAACAUUUAAAAAACACCUAUGUCAACCCCCAAAUCUCCAGAUAUUCUCUUGGAGGAAUU